GACGGAGGAGGCAAGCGUUAUCCGGAAUUAUUGGGCGUAAAGCGUCCGCCGGUGGCGAUUCAAGUCUGCUGUCAAAGGUCGGGGCUUAACCCCGGGAAGGCAGUGGAAACUGAAUAGCUAGAGUGCGGUAGGGGCAGAGGGAAUUCCCGGUGUAGCAGUGAAAUGCGUAGAGAUCGGGAAGAUCACCAGUGGCGAAAGCGCUCUGCUGGGCCUGCACUGACACUGAGGGACGAAAGCUAGGGGAUCGAAAGGG
Molecule: ribosomal RNA, 253 nt
Filed under: uncultured bacterium
Lineage: Bacteria
Description: partial 16S ribosomal RNA
Rfam family: Bacterial small subunit ribosomal RNA
Source: RNAcentral